GUGCCAGCAGCCGCGGUAAUACGUAGGGCGCAAGCGUUGCUCGGAAUCACUGGGCGUAAAGGGUGCGUAGGCGGGUUUUUAAGUCAGGGGUGAAAUCCUGGAGCUCAACUCCAGAACUGCCUUUGAUACUGAAGAUCUUGAGUCCGGGAGAGGUGAGUGGAACUGCGAGUGUAGAGGUGAAAUUCGUAGAUAUUGGGAAGAACACCGGUGGCGAAGGCGGCUCACUGGCCCGAAACUGACGCUCAUGCACGACAGCGUGGGGAUCAAACAGGAUUAGAAACCCUUGUAGUCC
Molecule: ribosomal RNA, 292 nt
Filed under: uncultured bacterium
Lineage: Bacteria
Description: partial 16S ribosomal RNA
Rfam family: Bacterial small subunit ribosomal RNA
Source: RNAcentral